GAUGAACGCUGGCGGCGUGCCUAAUACAUGCAAGUCGAGCGAACAGACGAGGAGCUUGCUCCUCUGACGUUAGCGGCGGACGGGUGAGUAACACGUGGAUAACCUACCUAUAAGACUGGGAUAACUUCGGGAAACCGGAGCUAAUACCGGAUAAUAUAUUGAACCGCAUGGUUCAAUAGUGAAAGACGGUUUUGCUGUCACUUAUAGAUGGAUCCGCGCCGCAUUAGCUAGUUGGUAAGGUAACGGCUUACCAAGGCAACGAUGCGUAGCCGACCUGAGAGGGUGAUCGGCCACCUUGGAACUGAGACACGGUCCAGACUCCUACGGGAGGCAGCAGUAGGGAAUCUUCCGCAAUGGGCGAAAGCCUGACGGAGCAACGCCGCGUGAGUGAUGAAGGUCUUCGGAUCGUAAAACUCUGUUAUUAGGGAAGAACAAAUGUGUAAGUAACUAUGCACGUCUUGACGGUACCUACUCAGAAAGCCACGGCUAACUACGUG
Molecule: ribosomal RNA, 497 nt
Filed under: uncultured bacterium
Lineage: Bacteria
Description: partial 16S ribosomal RNA
Rfam family: Bacterial small subunit ribosomal RNA
Source: RNAcentral